This is a long non-coding RNA of Chenopodium quinoa (quinoa), 565 nucleotides long. RefSeq lists it as uncharacterized. The transcript is spliced from 2 exons. The record is from RefSeq and is a predicted model, not a curated record. NCBI's taxonomy places the organism in Eukaryota, Viridiplantae, Streptophyta, Magnoliopsida, Caryophyllales, Amaranthaceae.
CCCCGCCUGACCAACCCCACACCUGACCCAUACCCGCAUUAUACCCGACCCGUCCCAUAUAAUGCAAUAACAUAUUUCGUUAAAUAUUAUACAGCAAAAAAAAAUGUUACUGACUUGAUUAAGGAAGUCUCUAGACACUAGACUUCUAGAAGAAAAAAAAAAAAACCAUAUUCAUUUUCAUUCUCAACCCUAGCCGACACUAUCACUCAUUCACUCUCCUCUCCUCUCCUCUCCUCUCAAGCUCUAUCAAUCAGACAAUCACCACCUCUGAAUCUCGCCGCUGAGUUGUGCGCUGAUCAACACUCCGAUCUACAUAAUCCCUACCUCUUCCUAUAUAAUCGAUUGUAGAGAAUACAAGGAUGAUGAAUAUGCUAAAUUGGUGGGAGAAUUAGUGGAAGAAUUUGAAACAUGAGAUAUCGAUUCCAGUACAAGUGAAGUUUGCACUACACAGAAUAAUUGAAGGCUUAGAGUUAUUAUUAUGUAUUUUUAAUAUUUGGACUUUAGACAAUUUAGAGUUACAUUUAUUUGUUUAGAGUGUAUUAUAUUAGUUACUGUGUUUUUUUUU